Long non-coding RNA from Manacus vitellinus (golden-collared manakin), 827 nucleotides. RefSeq lists it as uncharacterized. The transcript is spliced from 7 exons. Lineage: Eukaryota; Metazoa; Chordata; Aves; Passeriformes; Pipridae. The record is from RefSeq and is a predicted model, not a curated record.
CAGCUUCAUAUAUGUUUAAGACAUAUAUGGAUGGUCACUGCAGUGCCCUUUUUGUGGGCUGGGAUUUCUAUUGCCCAUGCUUUUUCCAAAGGAAACUUUUCCAGACUGCACCAUUCGUGUGUCGAAGGACAUGGAGCUGUUUGUGCCUGAGAGCCUGAGCAGAGCUCAAAUGAGAAUUCUAAAGGCAACACAAGCCCCCAGGACAUUGUUUUCCAGUCCAUGAGCAGAAGCUUUUGGCUGCUGAAGUUCCCCUCUGUCUCAUCUGAAGCUGCUGUAAAGCAUUUGCCAAUGCCCUGAUGUUCCCCCACCCAAAGAGAAUUAAUGGCUGAGCUGGAAUGAAGAGCACAGCACAGAGAGCAGGCAUGGCCCAGACCUCACAGCACUAAUUAUGCCCUUAAAGGGACUGAAUUGCUACUUUUGGACAGUCACAGGAGCUGCUCUGGAAAUGCUUGCUGGAGCAAAUGCAAAUAUAUCAUUACAACACUGAAUUAAGGGUCAAGGAAAAUACUGUUGCUAAGAAGCUGGACACACUGAAGAUAUUCAAGACUGAUGGACCAGAACCUCUUGCAUCCAUACCUGUGAAAAAUGGAAAAGACAAAGUUGAAGGGGGAAGCAGCUUGAACCUACUGGCUAGCCUGGGAAUGAGGAUCUGCUCGCUGCUGGUGCCAUCCCCCCCCUCGGUGGUGGCCUUCACCUCGAUGAUAUAAUCGUCGUUGGACUGGAGCCACAGCUCGGCCGUCGUCUGCUCCGUGCUCAGCACCUUCACACUGCUCUGGCUGCUGGUCCUGUACAAAACCUGCAACACAGGCAACAUCCUCCUCUAGGAC